This is a long non-coding RNA of Brassica oleracea var. oleracea, 818 nucleotides long. RefSeq lists it as uncharacterized. The record is from RefSeq and is a predicted model, not a curated record. NCBI's taxonomy places the organism in Eukaryota, Viridiplantae, Streptophyta, Magnoliopsida, Brassicales, Brassicaceae. The transcript is spliced from 3 exons.
UGCAGUUUCCCUCUCAACAUAAUGGCCUCACAUUCAAUCAUUUGGUCUCUUUUUUCUUCAAUGCACAAUGACCUGCUGCUUCACCGGCAACCUCCAACCAGCCUUGUUCACCCUGUUUCAGCUACUCCGCCUCCAGCAUCUCCGACUACACGUCCACUAGCUCGGGAAAUGGAGUUUGCUGACAUCCCCAAGAAAAGAUACAAACAUGGUAAGAAGACUGAUGGGGAUCGAGGCUAUUCCCAUUCAUAUUGAUGACUUUGAAUCGAGACAUGUAUAUAUGUAGGCGCUGAGUCUCAGCUUGCAGAGGAAGGAAAAUAAGAAAGAAGUAGUAGAAGCCAAAGAGAAACAAAGAUAAAGGAAGAGAUGAAUACACAGAGCCAGACAACAACUGCUCUUCCGACAACAUCUUGCAAAAAGCAUGUGAAUGAUGAUAAUACCACUUUCCUUGCUAACUUCAAGGAUCGUUUCAGUGCAUUCGUCAAUACCCCAAUGGAUGAACACAAGACUUGUUUCAAAAACACCAUGAACAAGGUUCGCUCCCAGUUUUCUAUACCUCCUUCGACCAUGGACAAGGUUUGUUCCCAGUUUUCUGUAUCUUCUUGGAUGUCGAAGGAUGAUGCCCAGAAGAAGGAUGAUGACGUGAAGAAAGUGGAGAGUCACUCGCCUCUUUAGGGCAGCAGAUUUUGCCAGAUUCAACUGAAACUUUAAUUUUCUACUUAAUAAAAUCCACUGUUUUUCUCUUUAUGUUCUUAAUAAAAUAGAUUGAAGUUUUUCUAUAAAUUUUCUUGCUUUGGAUUUUAGAAGUUUAAAAAGCUCCC